UGGAAAGGAGAAACGUCUGAAGAGACAAGACCUUCUCAACUUCUCCAGAACUAAUGAUCAUCGCCAAGGCCAAUAUAAUUGUUAUUGAUUAAAAGUUUCAGAGGUAGAGAGAGACCCUUCUUCACAAAGCUUCGGCCUCCGUUGCAGCUCUCAUGGCGGCACCAACCACACCACAAAUAUGCAACGUGUCUUGCAAGCAAAACCAGCAUCUAAAGCCCGCUCGCAGCAGCCACCGCUGCAUUUCGCAGCCUUUCUGUCAUACACUUGCUAAAAUCUGCGCCCUCCACGGCCACCUCUAAGCAUGUAAUGUACCGUGCCAAGCUGAAUUCCGUGCUAUGAGAGUUUGUCAGGUCCUUGAGAUGGGAUCACUCAAGAUGGCUGGAAAAGCACCCGGUGCUGCUGCGCUGCCAGAGUCCUCAUGUGCCUACUUGCUUCAAGAACUAAAGAUGAUAUGGGAUGAAGUUGGGCAAGACCAAAGUGAAAGGGAAAGGAUACUGGGAGAGCUCGAGCAAGAAUGCCAGGAAGUUUACAGAAGCAAAGUAAAUAGCGCCAACAUGUCUCGGAUUCAGCUGCACCAAGCGUUAGCUGAAUCUGAGGCUGAAUUUACCAACCUGCUGCUGUCCCUUGGGGAAAGAUCAUUCCCAGCACGACCCGAGAAAAUGGCAGGCACUCUGAAGGACCAGACCUAAAUUCCAUUACACCCGCCCUACAAGAAAUGCAGAUGAGGAAGGAGGCCAGUGAAGCAGUUCAUGGAGGUUCGAACUGAAAUACACAGGAUUGCUUCUGAAAUUGCAGGACGCUUAGGGAACGAAGCUGUCGCUGUGGAUGAAGAAGAUCUGUCACUAAAGAGACUCCAGGAGUUCCAAAGCGAACUGCAAAGACUGAAAAGAGAAAAGAGUGAUCGCCUCUGCAAAGUGGAAGAAUACAAAGCUCUAGUUGACAAUUUUGCAAAAGUAAUGGUAAUGGAGCCUUCAAAUAUACUUGCUAAUGUUCACCCCAGGUAGCUAGAUGGACCAAAUGAGCAGCAGACGAUGAAUAUCAAUGAUGACAUCCUCAGCAAGCUCAAUAUGACUGUUCAGCAGCUAAAAGAAGAGGAGCAAUAGAAGGGAAAAGGUGAUUUGUCAUCCUUCUGGUACCAACACUGUAGCCGGUAGCCACAUUUCACAUGAUCCGGUCAUUCUCACAGUGGCAGCAUAAAGAAAAGAUGGUACAUUCAGGUUCUCAGAAAGAAGAAUACAGUAGGGAAAGGCCCUGGUAAAAAUACAACAGAAAUGUCUACAAAAGCCUAUUCAGCAAAGGAGACUAUUGCUAUGAGAGCUGCAUAUCAGUUCAUUAAAAGGAGGACGAAAAGAAAGAAAUUACACACGCCCGGCCAAAGGCUAAGGCACACAGACACACACACUACCCACUAGGUUGGACUACAUAGAGCCGGUUAGGAAAAACCAGUAACAGCAGCCAGCAACCUGACGACUAUGAGGUAAAAAACCUACAUCAUCCACAUCCUGCGCCAACUGGAGCUGGAUGCCUUUAGCACCAGCCUUGCGCCAACACCAGGCCUCCUCUCCAGCAUUGGAGAGAGCAGUAGAGAGAUGGGGAGUUGCACCGUUGAAGAUAAUAUCAUUCCUGUGUUUCCACAAGGUCCAGGCCCUCCCUCCAUUCCAACAUGUAAGUCGUUAUGGUUUUUCUAGAUACAUCGCUUUUACAGUUUUACUAUGUAUUUCGACAUAAUGAUGCGGACAGGUGGCUAGACGGGAAUUCUAUUUCUGCUUUGGCAACAGACCUGGUGGCUGCGGUAUCCAAGCGUUCAGUUGGGAAGAGAACUGUGCAGGAGGCCCUUGCAAACCUCCAAUGGGUCUGGGACAUAGAGGGUCAGUUAUCAGUUCAAGUUCUGAGAGACUUUUGGUGGCUGUGGGACUUGUUGGAUGGAUUCCAUCUCAUGCCGGGGGUUCCUGGUCAGCAUUCUUGGACCUUGAAAGCUUCUGGUGUUUAUUCAUCUAAAUCAGCCUACAAUGCUUUCUUCAUGGGGGCAGUCCUUUUUGAGCCUGCUGAUCGGAUUUGGCACAGCUGGGCCCCACCUAGAUGCAAGUUUUUCAUGUGGUUGGCUGCGUGGAACAGAUGUUGGACGGCGGACAGACUGGCCCACAAGGGUUUGGAUCAUCUGGAGCUAUGUUCACUUUGUGAUCAGGAGGAAGAAAAUAUUAACCACUUAUUGGUCAAUUGUGUCUUUGCUAGAAGUGUAUGGUUUGCGGUGCUUAGCUCGGUGAAUCUUCAUUCCUUGGCUCCAGAUUUCCAAGAUUACAAGCUGCAGGACUGGUGGAGCAGGGCUGAGAAAAGAGUCCAAAAACAGCAUAAAAAGGGUUUCAACUCCCUUGUGAUUUUAGUAGCUUGGUGCAUCUGGAAACAUAGCAAUGCUUGCAUUUUUUAUGGCACCCCCCCUAGUGUCCCUACAUGUCUCCAGCUUAUUAAGGAAGAGGCUGCUAUCUGGUGCAAAGCUGGUGCAGCAGGGUUGCGUGUUUUUUGGCCCCAUUAGUUGGUUGCUGUCUCAUAUUUGUAAUAAGAAGAAAAUCUAGGUUUUGAGGCUGCCUCUAUAAGGGACAGUUUUUUUGUGCUCGGUCUAUUUUAGACCUUCCCUUCUUAAUAUAAUGAUGCGCAGCUCUCGUGUGUAUUCGAGAAAAACAUAUUGUAUAUCUUGGUGCAUAGCAAAAUCUAUGUAUCUCAAUU
This 2721-nucleotide unclassified non-coding RNA is filed under the name Zea mays. Its description in RNAcentral is "misc RNA Zm00001eb175110". The record is from RNAcentral. Lineage: Eukaryota; Viridiplantae; Streptophyta; Magnoliopsida; Poales; Poaceae.